Epinephelus moara (kelp grouper) is the source of this 475-nucleotide long non-coding RNA. RefSeq lists it as uncharacterized. The transcript has 4 exons. Lineage: Eukaryota; Metazoa; Chordata; Actinopteri; Perciformes; Serranidae. The record is from RefSeq and is a predicted model, not a curated record.
CCGAUUUGACGGCAGCGAUCAGCUGCAAGUGUAUCAGCUGAGCAGAUCAGCUGAUCUCAGGGCUGCUGCUAAUGAUGAUGAUGAUGAUGGAUAUCUCACAACUACUUGAGGCUGUCCUCCAGCAGCAAAUCUCGUCUCAUGAGAUUUCGAAGUGUCGCCAGAUGGGACAAUAACAAAAGGGCCGGACAAGUGAAAGGUAUGCCGGAGUCAGGGCGGAGCCACCAGGUGCACCUCAUUGCCAUAAUCAAGACCUCUUCUUAUACUCAGCUCUGCCAUCUCCACCCUGCCAGAUCGUAAUCUCUACGUAUCUCACCGCUCCUGACUCCGGCCCUGCCUCCUCAUCCCCACUGGAAUUACCCAAACCGCUCAGCCAUCAUUAUACCUCUUUGUCCCUGACCAUGCUCUCCCUCAACUCCUCUGGAUCCGCUCCCCAACCUGCUGCUCUAUCUCCAACCCUUGCAUCCCUGGCUCUACA